RNAcentral lists this non-coding RNA (26 nucleotides) under Bombyx mori (domestic silkworm). The record is from RNAcentral. Lineage: Eukaryota; Metazoa; Arthropoda; Insecta; Lepidoptera; Bombycidae.
UACUGAUGGACACUCCGGACGACGAG